GGGAUUAGUGGCGAACGGGUGAGUAACACGUGGGCAAUCUGCCCUUCACUCUGGGACAAGCCCUGGAAACGGGGUCUAAUACCGGAUAUGAGCCUGGGAGGCAUCUCCCGGGUUGUAAAGCUCCGGCGGUGAAGGAUGAGCCCGCGGCCUAUCAGCUUGUUGGUGAGGUAAUGGCUCACCAAGGCGACGACGGGUAGCCGGCCUGAGAGGGCGACCGGCCACACUGGGACUGAGACACGGCCCAGACUCCUACGGGAGGCAGCAGUGGGGAAUAUUGCACAAUGGGCGAAAGCCUGAUGCAGCGACGCCGCGUGAGGGAUGACGGCCUUCGGGUUGUAAACCUCUUUCAGCAGGGAAGAAGCGAGAGUGACGGUACCUGCAGAAGAAGCGCCGGCUAACUACGUGCCAGCAGCCGCGGUAAUACGUAGGGCGCAAGCGUUGUCCGGAAUUAUUGGGCGUAAAGAGCUCGUAGGCGGCUUGUCACGUCGGGUGUGAAAGCCCGGGGCUUAACCCCGGGUCUGCAUUCGAUACG
RNAcentral lists this ribosomal RNA (532 nucleotides) under Streptomyces sp. RNAcentral's name for it is "bacterial SSU rRNA". It matches the Rfam family "Bacterial small subunit ribosomal RNA", at positions 88 to 634 of the family's 1533-position model. The record is from RNAcentral. Lineage: Bacteria; Bacillati; Actinomycetota; Actinomycetes; Kitasatosporales; Streptomycetaceae.